This 1228-nucleotide ribosomal RNA is filed under the name Salmonella enterica. RNAcentral describes it as "partial 23S ribosomal RNA". It matches the Rfam family "Bacterial large subunit ribosomal RNA", at positions 1 to 1266 of the family's 2925-position model. Lineage: Bacteria; Pseudomonadati; Pseudomonadota; Gammaproteobacteria; Enterobacterales; Enterobacteriaceae. The record is from RNAcentral.
GGUUAAGCGACUAAGCGUACACGGUGGAUGCCCUGGCAGUCAGAGGCGAUGAAGGGCGUGCUAAUCUGCGAUAAGCGCCGGUAAGGUGAUAUGAACCGUUAUAACCGGCGAUACCCGAAUGGGGAAACCCAGUGUGAUUCGUCACACUAUCAUUAACUGAAUCCAUAGGUUAAUGAGGCGAACCGGGGGAACUGAAACAUCUAAGUACCCCGAGGAAAAGAAAUCAACCGAGAUUCCCCCAGUAGCGGCGAGCGAACGGGGAGGAGCCCAGAGCCUGAAUCAGCAUGUGUGUUAGUGGAAGCGUCUGGAAAGGCGCGCGAUACAGGGUGACAGCCCCGUACACAAAAGCGCAUGUGCUGUGAGCUCGAUGAGUAGGGCGGGACACGUGGUAUCCUGUCUGAAUAUGGGGGGACCAUCCUCCAAGGCUAAAUACUCCUGACUGACCGAUAGUGAACCAGUACCGUGAGGGAAAGGCGAAAAGAACCCCGGCGAGGGGAGUGAAAAAGAACCUGAAAUCGUGUACGUACAAGCAGUGGGAGCACAGGUUUACCUGUGUGACUGCGUACCUUUUGUAUAAUGGGUCAGCGACUUAUAUUCUGUAGCAAGGUUAACCGAAUAGGGGAGCCGGAGGGAAACCGAGUCUUAAUUGGGCGUUAAGUUGCAGGGUAUAGACCCGAAACCCGGUGAUCUAGCCAUGGGCAGGUUGAAGGUUGGGUAACACUAACUGGAGGACCGAACCGACUAAUGUUGAAAAAUUAGCGGAUGACCUGUGGCUGGGGGUGAAAGGCCAAUCAAACCGGGAGAUAGCUGGUUCUCCCCGAAAGCUAUUUAGGUAGCGCCUCGUGAAUUCAUCUCCGGGGGUAGAGCACUGUUUCGGCUAGGGGGCCAUCCCGGCUUACCAACCCGAUGCAAACUGCGAAUACCGGAGAAUGUUAUCACGGGAGACACACGGCGGGUGCUAACGUCCGUCGUGAAGAGGGAAACAACCCAGACCGCCAGCUAAGGUCCCAAAGUCAUGGUUAAGUGGGAAACGAUGUGGGAAGGCCCAGACAGCCAGGAUGUUGGCUUAGAAGCAGCCAUCAUUUAAAGAAAGCGUAAUAGCUCACUGGUCGAGUCGGCCUGCGCGGAAGAUGUAACGGGGCUAAACCAUGCACCGAAGCUGCGGCAGCGACGCUUAUGCGUUGUUGGGUAGGGGAGCGUUCUGUAAGCCUGUGAAGGUGGCCUGUGA